Molecule: ribosomal RNA, 448 nt
Filed under: uncultured bacterium
Lineage: Bacteria
Description: SSU rRNA
Rfam family: Bacterial small subunit ribosomal RNA
Source: RNAcentral
AGAACGAACGCUGGCGGCAGGCCUCAAACAUGCAAGUCUAGGGGGUGUAGCAAUACAUCACCGGCGGACGGGUGCGUAACACGUGGGAAUAUACCUUUUGGUUCGGAACAACGCAGGGAAACUUGCGCUAAUACCGAAUGUGCCCUUACGGGGAAAGAUUUAUCGCCGAAGGAUUGGCCCGCGUUCGAUUAGCUUGUUGGUGAGGUAACGGCUCACCAAGGCGACGAUCGAUAGCUGGUCUGAGAGGAUGGCCAGCCACAUUGGGACUGAGACACGGCCCAAACUCCUACGGGAGGCAGCAGUGGGGAAUAUUGGACAAUGGGCGCAAGCCUGAUCCAGCCAUGCCGCGUGAGUGAUGACGGCCUUAGGGUUGUAAAGCUCUUUCGCACGCGACGAUAAUGACGGUAGCGUGAGAAGAAGCCCCGGCUAACUUCGCGCCAGCAGCCGC